RNAcentral lists this ribosomal RNA (468 nucleotides) under uncultured bacterium. Its description in RNAcentral is "partial 16S ribosomal RNA". It matches the Rfam family "Bacterial small subunit ribosomal RNA", at positions 28 to 507 of the family's 1533-position model. The record is from RNAcentral.
GAUGAACGCUGGCGGCGUGCCUAACACAUGCAAGUCGAACGGAAAGGCCCUGCUUUUGUGGGGUGCUCGAGUGGCGAACGGGUGAGUAACACGUGAGUAACCUGCCCUUGACUUUGGGAUAACUUCAGGAAACUGGGGAUAAUACCGGAUAGGAGCUCCUGCACCGUGGGGGGGGUUGGAAAGUUUCGGCGGUUGGGGAUGGACUAGAGGCUUAUCAGCUGGUUGGUGGGGUAGUGGCGUACCAAGGCUUUGACGGGUAGCCGGCCUGGGAGGGUGAACGGCCACAUUGGGCCUGCGAGACGGACCAGACUGGUACGGGAGGCAGCAGUGGGAAAUAUUACACAGUGGGCGGGAGCCUGAUGCAGCAACGCCGGGUGCGGGAUGACGGCCUUCGGGGUAUAAACCGCUGUCGCCUGUGACGAAGCGUGAGUGACGGUAAUUAGUAAAGAAGCACCGGCUAACUACGUG